This 65-nucleotide transfer RNA is filed under the name Pilsbryoconcha exilis. RNAcentral's name for it is "tRNA-Asn". The record is from RNAcentral. Lineage: Eukaryota; Metazoa; Mollusca; Bivalvia; Unionida; Unionidae.
GGGGCAGAAGCUACAUUAGCAAUUAGUUGUUACCUAAUCUAUAGUGAUCUAAUUCACCUACCCUA